CCGGGAUAUUGAUUUUUUUGUGGUAAAAAAGCAAAAAGAUUAUUCCUUUGACCCUUUUUUGUUUAUUCAAAAAAAUGUUAUUUCUUCGGUGAGACGUCUUUUUUGAUCAAAUCAAAAAAAGCUAUUGAUAUUUUGUUUUACUCAAACAAAUAUGAAUAUGUUGCUUACCGAAGUAUAAACUCUUUUUUCUGUUAGUCUGAGUAUACAAACAAAUAAAUUA
This 220-nucleotide unclassified non-coding RNA is filed under the name uncultured fungus. Its description in RNAcentral is "sequence contains ITS1, 5.8S rRNA gene". The record is from RNAcentral. Lineage: Eukaryota; Fungi.